Molecule: ribosomal RNA, 492 nt
Filed under: uncultured bacterium
Lineage: Bacteria
Description: bacterial SSU rRNA
Rfam family: Bacterial small subunit ribosomal RNA
Source: RNAcentral
GACGAACGCUGGCGGCGUGCUUAAAACAUGCAAGUCGAACGGACUUCUCAUGAAGCUUGCGAUUGAGAAGUUAGUGGCGGACGGGUGAGUAACGCGUGGGCAACCUGCCCCUGAGCCCGGGAUAACAGUUCGAAAGGACUGCUAAGACCGGAUAUACUUGCGGUGAAGCAUUUCACUGCAAGGAAAGGGAACGCUCAGGGAUGGGCCCGCGUCCCAUUAGCUAGUUGGUGAGGUAACGGCCCACCAAGGCGACGAUGGGUAGCCGGCCUGAGAGGGUGAACGGCCACACUGGGACUGAGACACGGCCCAGACUCCUACGGGAGGCAGCAGUUGGGAAUCUUCGGCAAUGGGCGCAAGCCUGACCGAGCAACGCCGCGUGAGUGAUGAAGGUUUUCGGAUUGUAAAGCUCUGUCUUCCGGGACGAUAAUGACGGUACCGGAGGAGGAAGCCACGGCUAACUACGUGCCAGCAGCCGCGGUAAGAGUCACGUCG